This 2851-nucleotide long non-coding RNA is filed under the name Haliotis rubra (blacklip abalone). RNAcentral's name for it is "uncharacterized LOC124258793". Lineage: Eukaryota; Metazoa; Mollusca; Gastropoda; Lepetellida; Haliotidae. The record is from RNAcentral.
GACUCGUCGAGCACAUCUCUGGCAAAGUGGUGCGGAGACGAGAGACCAUCUGUAGAGAGCUCAGGACCACACGUGUUUAUAGAAUUCCGUGCUAGUGGUUCCAAGAACCAUGGUGUGUUUGUGAUCAAAUAUAGUAUUAUAGUGGAAUUGAAACCCCAAAACACACACAAGCCACAAGAAGAGUACGGAAACAGCGCCACUCGACCCUCAAAUUUAAUUCUGAUAUCUAUCGUGGUUGUGGUCGUUCUCAUAGUCUUCAUCAGUAUAUGUACUUGGAAAUUUCGCCAGAAACGACGCCAUCGGUCAUCAAAUACUGCUUGUGCUGUAAUGACCACCACGAGGCCUUCAGACCCAGUAGCAUCCGAUUACGAUCCUAAUCACCGGGAGAUUAUGCCAUUAGCAUCCGAUUACGAUCCUAAUCACGAGGCGGUGAUGCCUUCUACGGGAGCUGAAGGUGAAACAGAAUUGCCCUCAUACACCGCAGCUUGUGUGAGCCAAGCUCCCCCGUCAUACGAUAGUCUGUUUUGCCAGAACAGAGGAAAAUAUUGAUCUGAACCAUUGGACACGAGGUGUAAACAUUCCCCACAACAAAGAUGUAGUCCGUUUACAAGAUGUAUCAGUAUCGUUGAAGUCUUUCGUUAUGACAGACUGUGUUCUGGGAAAACGAAAUCCUACGAAAACUGUUUUCUAGUGCAAUCUCAUGCAUAUAGACGCAAAGGUAACAACAUUCUUGUAGAAUGAUCAUGAUGGUGUGCAUUAGAACUCAGGUCACCAAUCAGUCUAGCACCUUAUUAUUAUAAUACGGUCGUUUGUGUCGAUGACAGUGUCAUUGAAAUAAGAUCUUAUUGUUACUCGUAACUAAGAUCUGAUUUCAAGAUACACUCGGUAUUCCAUGAGGAUGAUCUUAUAUGUUCCCUCAUAAUGGCUUUGCAUUGUACAAAUACCAACAUUUACCAAUAUUUAUAUUUUUGACUACAUUUGUUGAUUAACGUUACAAUCAGAAAUAUCAGUGGCAUACGACAGUGGCAUGUGGAUAAUCGAGUAUGGAUCACAAAGUCUAGUUUUGAUUUAAUACAUUAAAUUUUAAUAUUGUUUAACAUUGAUAAAAAGCAAUUGAACAACAAAUCACAGACAACUGACAGUGGCCUUUUGGAUAAACGCAGGUCAAUCUGACCGCCCAUCGACUACGAUUUGCAUGAACACUUGACAGUUGUGUUUUUCAAUAUGUGUGAAGCAAGUUACCAGUGACCGAUUCAGUUGAAAGUUCAGAUCUUGUCACAGAUACAAUGUACAAGCCAUGUGACAACGAUAUACAGUUAAACAGUGAAGUACAUAUCACAGAGUCAGUACUCAAGAUUGAUGUCGAGAAUUCAAUAUGACGUGCGCUAUAGUGUAACCAGGUUGUCGUUGUACAAGAUAACCUAAGACAAAGCUAAGUCUAUGCUAAGGUGUGAGAGUUACGGUCACCUUAGCACUGAGAUAGCUUUGUACCUUAAACGCUGGACUCGAUUACUUACAGACCGCCGUCUGGUUGGAAAGUUGCUGAGUGCGGCGUUAAACAACAAACAAUCACAACAGGUUGUUAUCUGUUAUAUAUUGUGUUUCGGUGACCGUUGAGUAUUUAAUAGAAUUAUUUUUAUUGUCUUGAGUAUUAACUGAAAUUAACAUUAACCCAUAUGAACACUUGUUCCGAUUGCAACUGGUUCGUUCUUACUUUAUUCAAAUGCAGGUUCAUGCAUAGUAUCCUAAAUGUAUAUAGCUUUAUAUUAAGUAGGACAAAGAACAUUAGGAAUGCUUGUGGCAGCUACAACUAGUCCAACAGCGAGCCAAGUGAGUUGUUCAAUAUUACCUCUGUUCACCCAGCAAUGAAUGGGUACCCAGUGGGAUACUCGUUAAGUCGUGUGACUGUCACCUUCAAGUGCCUAACGGGCAGUUAUCCAGGGUAAUAAUGUGUCGUGCUAUUCAUUGUUAGUGCUAUGAGCAUACCUGGUGUGGAGUUUGGCGCUAUAUAAAUGGACACAUUGUUAUCAUCUAUUAUUAUCUACAUAUUUAUAUUCACUUUGGAGGUGAUAGUAUUAUAUAAUAAUCAAAGCGUUCGUCCAUCACAUGGUGGAUCCAGGUCCAGUUCCAAACAUGGUACAAACCGUGAAACCAAAUGUACAUAAAUACCUCUUCAUAAUCAUUGUUGGGGAAGGGAAUGGGGUUAUCGAUUUCGUUUAUUACCUGGAAAUAUUCAUGGGCAAUUUUCAUAUUACACAUUUUGUAAAGUAUUGGUUCCAUGAGAAGAAUGUGAAGGAUAAGAUUUAAUGUCAUAUGAACAGGUGCGUUUUGGUGUAAAGUUUUGUUAAGAAUUUGCCAAUUUUCACUGACUGUUAUCAUUUAUUGAACUCAUUACAAUAAUCUUUUCAACGUUACGAAUUUGUUUAAAAUCCGAAUUUGUUCAUGUGUAAACAGCACCUUUAAACAGUAUGGAAUAUUUUGCUUUGAUAAUUCUGAUAUAGAAUCUAGUUGUUUGCACUGUGAUAUGAAUGUUGUAGAAAAUGCAUACCAUGUUAUCUUUAUCUGUAAUAGAUAUUUUCUGCUCCGUAAUGAAUACUAUUUGUUCAUCAAAAUAUAUUGUAAAACUAGAUUAACAUUGCAACAAAUAUAAAACACACCUGAUUUAAAUAUAUUACGUUUUACAUCUAUAAUAUUUGCUCAAAAUAUUUAGCUUAAGAUGUUCUUAAUUUUAUAAUUUUGGUCAUGUGACAACGACUGUUACCUUACAAUACAGUUGUACUUGGGUCAUGUGGCCCAAAAUACGGAAUAAAUAAACUUGAGACUGUUUUGCAAAAUCUAUUUUAGAACAGUU